RNAcentral lists this long non-coding RNA (202 nucleotides) under Musa acuminata (dwarf banana). RNAcentral describes it as "long non-coding RNA (MACU_LNC011166)". Lineage: Eukaryota; Viridiplantae; Streptophyta; Magnoliopsida; Zingiberales; Musaceae. The record is from RNAcentral.
UUUGCCAGAAAUGGUAAAGGGUGUUAUUCUGGACCUUUGCCAAAAAUGGUAAAGGGUAUGUGCUUAGAGCCUGCGAUGCUCUGCCGGCCCCCUCUGGCUUCACCUAGACGUGGGUGGAUGGAGCUCCCAGACGUGGGAGACUUUUGUCAGGUGGUCAUUCAGAAAUGAAUGAAUCACAUUCUGACUGAGAUCCCACUACACC